GUAACACCGGCGGCUCGAGUGGUAACCGUUAUUAUUGGGUCUAAAGGGUCUGUAGCCGGCCGGAUAAGUCUCUUGAGAAAUCUGGCAGCUUAACUGUCAGGCUUUCAGGAGAUACUGUCUGGCUCGAGGCCGGGAGAGGUGAGAGGUACUUCAGGGGUAGGGGUGAAAUCUUGUAAUCCUUGAAGGACCACCAGUGGCGAAGGCGUCUCACCAGAACGGACCUGACGGCAAGGGACGAAAGCUAGGGGCACGAACCGGAUUAGAUACCCGGGUAGUCCUAGCCGUAAACGAUACUCGCUAGGUGUCGGCCACGGUGCGACCGUUGUCGGUGCCGUAGGGAAGCCGUGAAGCGACCC
This 356-nucleotide ribosomal RNA is filed under the name uncultured archaeon. RNAcentral describes it as "bacterial SSU rRNA". It matches the Rfam family "Archaeal small subunit ribosomal RNA", at positions 470 to 825 of the family's 1478-position model. The record is from RNAcentral.